UGAAAAGCCCCGGGAUGACUUGUGGAUAGGGGUGAAAGGCCAAUCAAACUUCGUGAUAGCUGGUUCUCUCCGAAAUAUAUUUAGGUAUAGCGUUGUGUCGUAAUAUAAGGGGGUAGAGCACUGAAUGGGCUAGGGCAUACACCAAUGUACCAAACCCUAUCAAACUCCGAAUACCUUAUAUGUAAUCACAGCAGUCAGGCGGCGAGUGAUAAAAUCCGUCGUCAAGAGGGAAACAACCCAGACUACCAGCUAAGGUCCCUAAAUCUUACUUAAGUGGAAAACGAUGUGAAGUUACUUAAACAACCAGGAGGUUGGCUUAGAAGCAGCCAUCCUUUAAAGAAAGCGUAAUAGCUCACUGGUCUAGUGAUUUUGCGCGGAAAAUAUAACGGGGCUAAAGUAAGUACCGAAGCUGUAGACUUGCGCACAACUUAGAUUAUUUAAGUUUAGAAUAUGAGAAACUAAGUUAUAUUUUUACUGAUUUUUAUAGAGUAAAGAUAGAAAUAAAACUUAGUAAAAUCAGUAAAAAUAUUCUUAGGCUAAAGUUAAGUAGUUUAAGUUGUGUGCAAGUGGUAGGAGAGCGUUCUAUUUGCGUCGAAGGUAUACCGGUAAGGAGUGCUGGAGCGAAUAGAAGUGAGCAUGCAGGCAUGAGUAGCGAUAAUUAAUGUGAGAAUCAUUAACGCCGUAAACCCAAGGUUUCCUACGCGAUGCUCGUCAUCGUAGGGUUAGUCGGGUCCUAAGUCGAGUCCGAAAGGGGUAGACGAUGGCAAAUUGGUUAAUAUUCCAAUACCAACAUUAGUGUGCGAUGGAAGGACGCUUAGGGCUAAGGGGGCUAGCGGAUGGAAGUGCUAGUCUAAGGUCGUAGGAGGUUAUACAGGCAAAUCCGUAUAACAAUACUCCGAGAACUGAAAGGCUUUUUGAAGUCUUCGGAUGGAUAGAAGAACCCCUGAUGCCGUCGAGCCAAGAAAAGUUUCUAAGUUUAGCUAAUGUUGCCCGUACCGUAAACCGACACAGGUGGGUGGGAUGAGUAUUCUAAGGCGCGUGGAAGAACUCUCUUUAAGGAACUCUGCAAAAUAGCACCGUAUCUUCGGUAUAAGGUGUGGUUAGCUUCGUACUAGGAUUUACUCCGAAAGCGAAGAAACUUACAACAAAGAGUCCCUCCCGACUGUUUACCAAAAACACAGCACUCUGCUAACUCGUAAGAGGAUGUAUAGGGUGUGACGCCUGCCCGGUGCUCGAAGGUUAAUUGAUGGGGUUAGCAUUAGCGAAGCUCUUGAUCGAAGCCCGAGUAAACGGCGGCCGUAACUAUAACGGUCCUAAGGUAGCGAAAUUCCUUGUCGGUUAAAUACCGACCUGCAUGAAUGGCGUAACGAGAUGGGAGCUGUCUCAAAGAGGGAUCCAGUGAAAUUGUAGUGGAGGUGAAAAUUCCUCCUACCCGCGGCAAGACGGAAAGACCCCGUGGACCUUUACUACAGCUUGACACUGCUAUUUGGAUAAGAAUGUGCAGGAUAGGUGGGAGGCUUUGAGUAUAUGACGCCAGUUGUAUAGGAGCCAUUGUUGAGAUACCACUCUUUCUUAUUUGGGUAGCUAACCAGCUUGAGUUAU
Molecule: ribosomal RNA, 1602 nt
Filed under: Campylobacter jejuni
Lineage: Bacteria; Pseudomonadati; Campylobacterota; Epsilonproteobacteria; Campylobacterales; Campylobacteraceae
Description: partial 23S ribosomal RNA
Rfam family: Bacterial large subunit ribosomal RNA
Source: RNAcentral